GGUUAUUUUAUCUUUAUGGCUAUCAAAAACGUUAAUUCAGUGCUGAGGGAACCAAUACUGCUUUAAUUUUUUUCUUCCUGGUGGAAAAGAAAAGCUGAUUUGCUUUCAGUGAUCUAAUUCAGUAAGAGUUCUUUAAUACAGCAAAGACAUCUGGCAUGAAUGUAAGCAGAACAUUUGGAGGACUUCUUUUUCAUAGCCAAUCACUUGGUGUUAGAAAUGGACCAUUAUACUGGAUAAGAAGGUUUUAGAAUGGUUGAAACUAUCAUUUAGUUUUACAAAUUAAAUGUAGUAUUUUUUGUAAACAUUAAACUUAUUAAACUAAAAAGUAAUAUAUUAGACACGAUGUUCCUCUAAAGUUUGUUUCCUAUGAGUGUAGUUUUGCAGAUGGCUUUCCUUGUCUCUGAAACUUUCCUUAUGCAUUAAGAAAGUUUGCUAACAUAUUCACAUUCAUAUGUUUAAAAGGUAUAUUAUGAUUAAAAAAAAUCAAUGUGGAAUUGUGAAAACCCUUAGUACAAAUAAAAGCACUCAAAAGAGCUUGAUUGCAGAAUUAAUAACGUGAUAGUUCUAGGAAAAGAGCUGCAAUGGUAAAUUAAAUUCACUGUCAAUAGAUGAAAAUGAAAUAGCUUUUUUGCAUUAUACAUGAGGUGGUAUCAGAUGUGCAGGGAUGUUACAGAAAAUUGGUGUUUAUCAAGGAUAUUCCAAAUAGUAAAUUAAAUGCCUUUUCAUUUGAAUAUAGUUUAUUUUCAGUGGGUUGGAAAGGGUGCACUGAGAAUUGGAGCUUUUGUUUUUAGUCCACUUAGUUGUACAUUUUUUGCUUAUUACAUUGAAAUUGAUUAUUUUAUUUAUAGUUCUGAGGCAUGUUAUUUGUAUAGAGCAAGAAUAUCUGCUGGAAAAAAAUGGAAAGCUGGAAUGCGUUGAAUAAAAUUUUGUGUGUGUGGUGACGUAACCUGAUCAAAUGUGAGUUGAAAUGUUGGAUAAAAGAAGGCUAUACUUUGCCGGUAACAGGUGGAAACCAAUCACACAGUGUGGAAUCAAUUUUAAGGAUAAAAUAAAGCCUUGUAGUUUAUAAGAAGCUUAAAGAAUUCUGAACAGUUUGUAUUAAAAUACAGUUUUAACUAGGUUAUUACCUGUUUGGACAGAUAAUCUCUUUGCUUCAGAUAGACUUUAAUUUUAAUAGUCUUUCUCUUCGCACUUGACCACAAGUCUGCAGAAUAAUUUUAAGAUCCCGGUAUUCUUCAACAUAGCCUCUGAGCGCUUUUCAAUUUCUCUUACUCAGAUGUACGUAAGGGACACUUACCUUGCACAUCUCAGAUGAACUAAAUUAUAGACUGUGAUCAUAUCACCAAGUUAUAAAGAAUUUCUUAGAGGAUUAAUGAAAUCAUUUGGAAGCCCGUUUUUGUGUCUUUCAUACAUAUAUGAAGUUCUUAAAGCUAUAUAUAUGUAUAUUUAUGACUGUCAUAAUCUACUAGAACAAAUAUGCCUAAUGUUUAUUUCAUGAAGCCCCUUUUCUGUUUCUCAUUUGGUAAGAGCAUAUUUGGGGAAAAGUCUACUUUAGUUGUAUAACCUAAUGGAUUUUCUCAAAUUACCUAAGUUUUUAAGCAGAAUGUAAUUGUGUUUGUAAGGUUUAGUUAAAAUACUAGUGUGUUUUCGGAAACUUUCUUCAGGAUGUGUAACACAGAAUACAGACACACUCUGGGGACAUUUUAAUACAUUUUAACUCAAAUGAUAGGUACUUUAAAAAAAUUACAGCCAAUAUAAUUUCCUUGUAUGCUUA
Molecule: small RNA, 1774 nt
Filed under: Pongo abelii (Sumatran orangutan)
Lineage: Eukaryota; Metazoa; Chordata; Mammalia; Primates; Hominidae
Description: sense intronic
Source: RNAcentral